RNAcentral lists this ribosomal RNA (460 nucleotides) under uncultured bacterium. RNAcentral's name for it is "partial 16S ribosomal RNA". It matches the Rfam family "Bacterial small subunit ribosomal RNA", at positions 338 to 795 of the family's 1533-position model. The record is from RNAcentral.
CCUACGGGGGGCAGCAGUGAGGAAUAUUGGUCAAUGGACGAGAGUCUGAACCAGCCAAGUAGCGUGAAGGAUGACUGCCCUAUGGGUUGUAAACUUCGUUUAUAUGGGAAUAAAACGUUCCACGUGUGGGAUUUUGUAUGUACCGUAUGAAUAAGGAUCGGCUAACUCCGUGCCAGCAGCCGCGGUAAUACGGAGGAUCCGAGCGUUAUCCGGAUUUAUUGGGUUUAAAGGGAGCGUAGGUGGAUUGUUAAGUCAGUUGUGAAAGUUUGCGGCUCAACCGUAAAAUUGCAGUUGAAACUGGCAGUCUUGAGUACAGUAGAGGUGGGCGGAAUUCGUGGUGUAGCGGUGAAAUGCUUAGAUAUCACGAAGAACUCCGAUUGCGAAGGCAGUUCACUGGACUGCAACUGACACUGAGGCUCGAAAGUGUGGGUAUCAAACAGGAUUAGAUACCCCUGUAGUC